RNAcentral lists this ribosomal RNA (255 nucleotides) under uncultured bacterium. RNAcentral's name for it is "partial 16S ribosomal RNA". It matches the Rfam family "Bacterial small subunit ribosomal RNA", at positions 524 to 776 of the family's 1533-position model. The record is from RNAcentral.
UACAGAGGGUGCGAGCGUUAAUCGGAAUUACUGGGCGUAAAGCGUGCGUAGACGGUUAUUUAAGUCGGAUGUGAAAGCCCCGGGCUCAACCUGGGAAUUGCAUUCGAGACUGAAUAGCUAGGGUGCGGUAGAGGGAAGCGGAAUUUCCGGUGUAGCGGUGAAAUGCGUAGAUAUCGGAAGGAACAUCAGUGGCGAAGGCGGCCUGCUGGGCAGUUUAGCUGACACUGAGGCGCGACAGCGUGGGGAGCAAACAGG